UACGGAGGGUGCAAGCGUUAUCCGGAUUUAUUGGGUUUAAAGGGUCCGUAGGCGGACCGGUAAGUCAGUGGUGAAAUCCUGCAGCUCAACUGUAGAACUGCCAUUGAUACUGCCAGUCUUGAAUAUGGUUGAAGUGGGCGGAAUAUGACAUGUAGCGGUGAAAUGCUUAGAUAUGUCAUAGAACACCGAUAGCGAAGGCAGCUCACUAAGCCACAAUUGACGCUGAUGGACGAAAGCGUGGGUAGCGAACAGG
RNAcentral lists this ribosomal RNA (253 nucleotides) under uncultured Fluviicola sp. Its description in RNAcentral is "partial 16S ribosomal RNA". It matches the Rfam family "Bacterial small subunit ribosomal RNA", at positions 524 to 776 of the family's 1533-position model. Lineage: Bacteria; Pseudomonadati; Bacteroidota; Flavobacteriia; Flavobacteriales; Crocinitomicaceae. The record is from RNAcentral.